AGUGAACGCUGGCGGUAGGCCUAACACAUGCAAGUCGAACGGCAGCACAGUAAGAGCUUGCUCUUACGGGUGGCGAGUGGCGGACGGGUGAGGAAUACAUCGGAAUCUACUUUUUCGUGGGGGAUAACGUAGGGAAACUUACGCUAAUACCGCAUACGACCUUCGGGUGAAAGCAGGGGAACUUCGGACCUUGCGCGAUUGAAUGAGCCGAUGUCGGAUUAGCUAGUUGGCGGGGUAAAGGCCCACCAAGGCGACGAUCCGUAGCUGGUCUGAGAGGAUGAUCAGCCACACUGGAACUGAGACACGGUCCAGACUCCUACGGGAGGCAGCAGUGGGGAAUAUUGGACAAUGGGCGCAAGCCUGAUCCAGCCAUACCGCGUGGGUGAAGAAGGCCUUCGGGUUGUAAAGCCCUUUUGUUGGGAAAGAAAAGCAGCAGGUUAAUACCCCGCUGUUCUGACGGUACCCAAAGAAUAAGCACCGGCUAACUUCGUG
Molecule: ribosomal RNA, 492 nt
Filed under: uncultured bacterium
Lineage: Bacteria
Description: partial 16S ribosomal RNA
Rfam family: Bacterial small subunit ribosomal RNA
Source: RNAcentral